UCAGAACGAACGCUGGCGGCGUGCCUAACACAUGCAAGUCGAACGGUAACAGGUCCUUCGGGACGCUGACGAGUGGCGCACGGGUGAGUAACGCGUGGAUAUCUGCCUAUUAGUGGGGGACAACUACAGGAAACUGUAGCUAAUACCGCAUAAUCUCUACGGAGGAAAGCAGGGGACCUUUCGGGGCCUUGCGCUGAUAGAUGAGUCCGCGUCUGAUUAGCUAGUUGGUGGGGUAAAAGCCUACCAAGGCGAUGAUCAGUAACUGGUUUGAGAGGAUGAUCAGUCACACUGGAACUGAGACACGGUCCAGACUCCUACGGGAGGCAGCAGUGGGGAAUAUUGCACAAUGGGGGAAACCCUGAUGCAGCGACGCCGCGUGCGGGAAGAAGGCCUUCGGGUUGUAAACCGCUUUCAAUUGGGAAGAAGAGAUGAGCACUAAUAUUGCUCUGAUUUGACGGUACCUUUAGAAGAAGCACCGGCUAAUUUCGUGCCAGCAGCCGCGGUAAUACGAAAGGUGCAAGCGUUGUUCGGAUUUACUGGGCGUAAAGAGAUCGUAGGUGGUUUUAUUAAGUCGGAUGUGAAAUCCCGGGGCUCAACCCCGGAACUGCAUUCGAUACUGAUAGGCUAGAGUUUGGGAGGGGUAAGCGGAAUUCCGUGUGUAGCAGUGAAAUGCGUAGAUAUACGGAGGAACACCUGAGGCGAAGGCGGCUUACUGGACCAAUACUGACACUGAGGAUCGAAAGCGUGGGUAGCAAACAGGAUUAGAUACCCUGGUAGUCCACGCCCUAAACGAUGUCAACUAGCCGUUUGAGAGUUUACCUCUUGUGUAUCGAAGCUAACGCGGUAAGUUGACCGCCUGGGGAGUACGCUCGCAAGAUUAAAACUCAAAGGAAUAGACGGGGACCCGCACAAGUGGUGGAGCAUGUGGUUUAAUUCGAAAAUACGCGAAGAACCUUACCUAGCCUUGACAUAUGUUAGAACACACCAGAGAUAGAGAAGUGCCUUCGGGAGCUAAUUUACAGGUGCUGCACGGCUGUCGUCAGCUCGUGUCGUGAGAUGUUGGGUUAAGUCCCGCAACGAGCGCAACCCUCGUGUCUAGUUACUAACAGUUCGGCUGAGGACUCUAGACAGACUGCCUUCGUAAGGAGGAGGAAGGUGAGGACGACGUCAAGUCAUCAUGGCCCUUACGGCUAGGGCAACACACGUGCUACAAUGGCCGGUACAGAGGGCUGCAAACUUGCGAGAGUAAGCUAAUCCCUUAAAGCCGGUCCUAGUCCGGAUUGGAGUCUGCACCUCGACUCCAUGAAGCUGGAAUCGCUAGUAAUCGCGGAUCAGAAUGCCGCGGUGAAUUCGUUCCCGGGCCUU
RNAcentral lists this ribosomal RNA (1365 nucleotides) under uncultured prokaryote. RNAcentral describes it as "partial 16S ribosomal RNA". It matches the Rfam family "Bacterial small subunit ribosomal RNA", at positions 24 to 1382 of the family's 1533-position model. The record is from RNAcentral.